Molecule: signal recognition particle RNA, 282 nt
Filed under: Saimiri boliviensis boliviensis (Bolivian squirrel monkey)
Lineage: Eukaryota; Metazoa; Chordata; Mammalia; Primates; Cebidae
Description: Metazoan signal recognition particle RNA (ENSSBOG00000014099.1)
Rfam family: Metazoan signal recognition particle RNA
About the family: The signal recognition particle (SRP) is a universally conserved ribonucleoprotein. It is involved in the co-translational targeting of proteins to membranes.
Source: RNAcentral
GCUGGGCAUGAUAGCACUUGCCUGUAGUCUCAGCUACCCUGGAGGCUGAGGUAGGAGGAUGACUUGACCCCAGGAAUUCUGGGCUGUAGUGCAUUAUGCCAGUUGGGUGUACACACUAAGUUCGGCAUCAGUAUGGUGACCUCUUGGGAGCAGGGGACCACCAGGUUGCCUAAGCGGGUGAACCGGCCCAGGUUGGAAAUAGAGCAGGUCGGAACUCCUGUGCUGAUCAGUAGUGGGAUUGUACCUGCUCUGGGUAUGCUGCCUAGGCUGGAUCCUGCUACU